GAGUGGUACCUUGAUCCAAUUCGUUGGAAAAUUGGACGAAACGGCGAAAACCCGCCGAUUUGGAAGCUUGGGUCGCGCGGGUCAAAGGUGACCCAUUCCUCCUGUUCCCCCGUGCACCACUCUCCCUCCUUUCCCUCCUUUCCUUCCCCUGGUUGAUCAGUUUCUUCCUCUCUCUUCUUCUGAUUCGCUCGCAUCUUCUUCUUCUCCGAUUGGGCAUUUCUGCCCAGUCUCUUCUUCUUUUCUGUUUUCUGUUUCUUCUUCUCAUACACAUACACACACCAAAAACCUUUCCCUCAUCCCAGCCAACCAUUUCAUUCAUCAUUAAAUCUGGGCCGUCCAUUUUCAUAAAAGAAUUUCUAUAUUUUACUAAAAUUAUAAUUCCUUAAAAUCCCAACUUCAAACUUUAAUAACUUCUUCGAUAUAACUCCAAAUCACGAACCGUCUGCGCCCAUGCGUCCGUAACGACGAGUACUACCAGGAUAUGCCAAGGAAACAAAUCUUAGAUGGCACGACAUGGUGAUUAACCUCGAAUAAUGCACGUACCUUCAAAGGGCAUUUUUGUAAAAUCCUUUAUCAAAACUUUAAAAAUUCUUAAAAUUAGGGACGGGCUGUCACAAUCUACCCACCUUAAAGAAAUUUCGUCCUCGAAAUUUACACAAUCUUUACAAUCCAUCAAUAUCCAUGAAACAGCCCGAAACACAUCUCUCUCAUUCGAUUCUCUGAUUUUCAAGUAGUUUCUUCCACUGAAAGAUUCCUCCAUAAAUUUUCACCAAACUCAUAGUCUUAUUUCUCAGUACAUCAUCUUUCUAAUACAAGAUAGGCACUGGCUCAUCAUCAUACGUCAAAUCCAGAUUGACUUCCAAAGGUUGAGGAGGUAUCACUCGUGAAGGAUAUGAGGUUUAAUGUCGAAGUAUCGAAACAUAAAACAUAUCGUGCCCUUUCGUUGACUCUGGAGGCAACUCAGCCUGAACGUAACUUCACUGACUCGUUCGAUGAUCACAUAUGGUCUGAUGUAUCUAGGACUUGCUUGCUUUUCUUUUUAAAACGAAUCAUACUUUUCCAAGGUGAUAAUUACUUGAAUAUUCCAAAUAGUCUCAUCUACUAACUCAGGGCCUCGAAUACUAACCGUCCCCAAUUCUAAUAAUUUCGAAACACAAGACAUAGCUUUCCACGGCCUUAUGGCGUUACUCUAGGGAACAAACUGAAGGGACCACAUACCCAAGAAGUUUAUCAGAUCCCAAAUCUCUUUUUCCAUCAAACAAAUAAAUAACUGUUGCGCUUGUCUGGAAAGGUUGAUGUUCUCAUACUGAAGUAACAUACGCUGACGUCACCAGUCGAUCAAUUAUUAUUCAAAUUCCAACCUAACUAUUUGGUAUACGAGGAAGCUUGUCCAUGAAAUCCAUAGUAAUAUUCUCUCAUUUCCGCCGUGGAAUGGGAAAUGACUACAUUAUUCCAAAAGACUUAUUUCUUUCUGCUUUAACCUGAUGACUGAUGAUACGCUUACUAACAUACUUCGCCAUUUCUCUUUUCAUACUCGGUAAAUAGUAAAAUGUUCGAAUGAUAAGAUACGUUUUAAUACCUUCAUGACGCCUUGCAUAAGCUGCACCGUACGCUUCGUCCAUAACUGGUUUCUUUAAUUCCAUAACAUUAGGUAUAAACACCUUGUUCUCUUGCAUAAGCUUGCCAUCUGAUUCUCUAACUCUAAGGUCUUUCUUUUUCCCGUUAUUCCUUGCAUUAAAUAAAUUCUUGAAUUUCUUCGUCAAACGCUUGAGUCUCGAGUACGAUCUACCAAAUGGGUCCAACUUGGAAAUUAGCAAGGCUUCUUCUCGAUUUUCGAUACCAACUUUACUCCAGUAGAUUUCAAAUCCACAAGAAGAUGAACAUAGCAAGCGUACCAAGCAUUAAUUCUCACUGGGGUCUUCCUACUAAAUGCAUCAGCCACAAUAUUAGCUCGACCACCCUAGUCGCACAAUCAUAAUCACUAAGCAACUCAAUCCACCUUUGUUGCCUAAGAUUAAUAUCUCUCCGCGUAAACAUAUAUUGGAGACUCUUAGGAUUCAUUAAAAUCUUGCAUUUCUCACCAAUAAUAUAAUGUCUCCAUAACUUCAAAGUAAGAAUGAUAGCCGCCAAUUCCAAUUCACAAGUAGGGUAAUUCGUCUCAUGAGAUCUCAAUGGCCAUAAAGCAUAAACAAUCAUCCUACCAUGUUGCAUCAACACGCAUCCAAGAACAUUCAACGUAGCAUCACUAUAAACCUUAUAAUUACCGCUAUAAUCUGGAAGCGUUAAAACAGGCGUGAAGUGAGAUAAUACUUCAGCUGCUGAAACCUUGCUCACAAUUUCAUCCACUCAAACCUAACCUUUUUUUCUCAUCAAUCUCGCCAAAAGCCAAGCAUUGAUUAAAAUCUUGGACGAACUAUCGAUAAUAUCCUGCUAAUCCGAGAAAACUCUGAACCUCAGUCACGGUUCGCAAUUGUUCCAAAUUCUCAAUCGUUGCUACUCUUUUAAGAAUCCACUUGAAUACCUUAAGUAGAUAUAAUUAAUUUAUCCAACAUUAGCAUUUGUUAAACUUAGCAUACAUCAACAUUCCCUCAAUCUUUGCAACACCAAUUUAAAAUAUCUAGCAUGCUCCGUUCUAUUCUUAUGAAUCUCGUCAAUGGCAAACAAUAACAACCCGGUCUAGAUAUCACUGGAAUACUUCCUUCAGCAAACUCAUAAAAAUAGUAGGUGCAUUCGUCACUCCGAAUGGCAUCCCAACUUGAAAUGACCAUAACGAGUCCUGGAUUCAGUCUUAUGAACAUCCUCACUGCUAAUCUUCAACUAAUAUUAUUCAGACCUCUAGUCAAUCUCAUAAAGUACCCAGGCGCCUUAGAGCUGAUCAAAUAAUCAUCAAUACACAACAAUGGAUAACGGCUCUCAAUCGUUAUCCGAUUCAAUUACCUAAUAUCAAUGCCUAGCCUUAAUGUCCACUUUCUUCCUCACAAAUAAACCGGAGCUUUUCCAAUAUGAUGAAUUAAGUUGAAUGGAACUUUUAACUCAACUUGAACCAAUCUCUAACAUAAGAUUUGCACCUAGAGACAAUUCAAUAGUGAAACCCACAUCUCUGCCUGGCGGCAAUCUAGGUAAGUCAUCUGGGAAUACACCAGGAAAAUGUCUAACCAUCUUUACAUCUUCCAUACUAUUAGGAUCAACAUCAUUUAGCACCAUAUGAACUAAAUAUCUUAGCAGCCUUUUGAUAACAAUCUUCUUUGCUCUCUCAACAGGAAUAAUGGCAUGACUCACUCCACUUUGCUUACCCCCAAGAGUAAUCUCUAGUCAUCUAGGUCGACAAAAAUUAACUGAUUCUCCAUAGCAAUCUAGCUUGGCACAUUUAUACUGCACCCACUUGUGCCAAAAAAUCACCUCAAAAUCCAUAAUAUCCAACGGAAUAAAAUUCACUGACAUGACAUUUUUCACCAUCACUGGACACCCUGAAUAAACCAAAUCAACAUAAAGUGCCUUACUUGUUUACUUACUUAACGAAUCCAACAAAUAAGUUAUAAAUAUUACGGUCUGCAGCCCGCAAUACAAAUAACUCACUGUUGUCUCGAUAAGUAAGUAACAAUUCCUGAAGGGUGUAAUAUUAUCAUCUUGUUCUUCCUUAGAAAUACAUAAAUACGCCUCAAUCGUGCUCCAACAUUACUUUCUUUGGCAACAUCGACCAUAAUAAGAAAUAUAUCAGCCGGAGUUAGCUAGAAUGACAUGUACGGCUGAGUCUACAACUCGACCAUCCAUGCUAGCACAUAAGUCGGAGUCACAUAUAGUGACCUGUACGACUUACUCGUCAAUUUUUCCAAGUGAUAUGUUAAGGAAGACUGUUGGGUAACAACUGAUUCCAGGGACAAUUCAUACCUCUAUGUCCCAUCCGUCCACAUGAACACAUUCACUGAUUCCCACACUCUCCAAAGUGUCUAAUAUUAUACCUAUGGCACAAAGGUACAUUUCCCUUACUCGAGUCACCUUGUCUUUAAGAUCUGGGAUCACCCGUAAAUUUAUCACUUCGCCUCGAACCAGUGGCACUAAAACCUCAGCUGGGAAAAUUAGCUCUAAUUUCACUUCCUUUGAAGCUCUGAGUCCUUCGACGUCCUUGAUAUGACGAAUCUUUAACUUUAUCGUCUUAUUCUUAUUCUCAUUCCUUUCUUAUUCCUCUUUACUCUCGCCGAUCAUAUUCUCAAAGUCCUCAAAGCCCAACAACAUCUCGUAAACUCCUGGUAAAAAGUACAAUGGAUUGUGGUCGUCAAAGAACGCCAAUUCUUCUUAUUAUCCAGCCAAAAACGACAGAACACCUUGACCGGAUUAGCAACAACAUCUGAAUGGAAACAAGGCAAGUCUGUAUUCAAAUUUAACUUAUAUCCAGUUUCAAAAGUUCCUUUAGAUAAUAGACUGAAUCAUAGUGACAAUAAUUUCCCCAAAACUACUAUAUCAGGGAAAUUAGGCUUAUUCGAACUACGUGGCUCGCUACGAGGCGGUAUAGUUCUGACAGAAGACACUAGGAAAUUCUCAAGAUGUCCAGAAUUGCAACCUAGGCUCUGAUACCAACUGACACACCCCGUCCCGAAGGAGGGCGUGCUGGCCGUCACGUGAGAGUGACGUAACCAUUUACACAGUUCGGAAGCUUUAAAGAAUACAAUUACUAAGAUAACACACCCGAGGGUGAGUCAUACUUUUGUGAAUUCUGUUAGAACACCGUUGGAUUCCUCGUGGCCACCAAAGCUCUGCCAUCUAGGACCUGGAGGGGCGCAAAACAAAAUUGAGUGGGUCAGUAAAACAAAGUUUUUCGAAAACAUUUCAUUUAAAACAUUUCUAACCCCUCACCGUAAAACCUGUAUACUUUCCCAGAAAAAAAAAAUAUAUAUAUAAAACCAUAUGAAAUCUCAAAACUUAAAUCCCAAAUCUUUAACAUUUUUCAAGAAAAAUAUGCCAUGCCAUAAAUCAAAAUAUAAAUCAGGUGAAAUAAGGAAUCAAUCGGAGACCCUGCAGUUGGUCCUAUACGAUUAAUUCAAUAGCUCAAUAUCCCACUAAGCCGGAGUCACCACAGUGACCUAUACGGCCCUACUCUGCACAUCACUCGGAACUACGUAAGGUAGUCUAUACGAUGAAAGGUGUAAAAAUACGCUCUAGUGCUUCUCUCAUCAAUCAUCAGCGCGCAUAACUAAGGUCACCCACUAGUCGGAAUCACGCCUAGUGAUCUGUACGACUAGCAUGUCGGAACCCUCACAUGGUCUGUACGACAUCCACCUACUUGGAUCCAAGGCGAGCGUGCGGUGUGGUGAAUAAUAUAAGCACUAACACCUAGGGUGCAAGUUAUGAGCUCAAAACAUCUCAACAACAAACAAUUCAAUGAAUAAAUGAACUCACCUGACUUACCUGUGCCUCCACAGCACCAUGCAACAUGUAUGCAUCAUAUAUCAAUUCAUUCUUUUCAUAAACUUCUAUGCUUGGCAUUUCAAUUCAUACUUUUCAUAAACUUCUAUGCAUGGCAUUUAAAAACAUUUUCUCAUAUAAAUGCAUUUCUGGGAAAACAAUAGUAUAUAGGUAAUACGAAAACAAAACUGCCCACUCACCUGGAGUUCGCCCAACAACUUCCUAGCACCGUACAUCAAGGCGUCAUGAAGAUUAGCGCCUAGAACAAUAAUUAAAUCCAACCUCAGAAAUCAUGCCGAUAGAAUACAUAACUUAUAUAAGACACGUCUCUACGUAGUUCGAUCCGGAUGAUCUGCAACUCAGAUUUCAAAUCCGUAACUUCCAGAGGUCCACAAUAUACCUCUAGGACAACAUCCUAAAAUUUCAUUACCAUCCAACGGUCGGAUCUCCGUCAAUUUCCAAAACUAAGUGACGGUUAACAUUCUAUUUUAUGAACUUACAACUUCAAUUCCGGAAGAUCCGUAAAUUGGAUUCCCAAUCCGUAAGUUCCUAUAAUCCUCAAAUAUUACGUAUUACAACGUAUCAAAGUUUGAUGACGAUCCAACGGUCGGAUCGUCAAUUCACAUUUUCACCUAACCAUGAAUCGUAACCAACUUAGGUUCAAUUAUUCAAUUUACGUCCAUCAAUUAUCAAAACUGAACCUAGAACCUUAAUCACAUGCUAAUAAUGACAUUGGCGGGCCAUUGGCCACGCACCGCCGCGCGGGCCGCCGCGGGUGGCGGUUGGCCGCCCCGGCUCGCCGGAAAAUUCAACUAUUUCCAAAAAUUACCAAAAUUUGCAGAUUUGAAGAUCUCAAUGAGUAGAACAACUUUCAUACCUGUGGACAAGGCCAAUUGGGCCUGGAAGUGCUUCAAUUUCACCAAAACCGUGAAGAACCCUAGAAUUUGGUGUUUCCAAUUCGACCUUCAAACUUGUUCCAACGCCUCUACUACCUCUUGGGCUUUGUUCUAGGUCCUAAAGGAAUGCUAAUGAUGUUAGUAAUUGAAAGAAAACAUUUCAAAAUUUCAAGAAUUUAAACAAAAGGGUCGCGGCACCCGUGUGGGUGUUCUUCGCGAAAUCACAACGAAAUUCAAUGAUUCUUGGGGUGAAACAUAAAGAGGGAAGGCCUAGAUGUUGAUUGGGAGUGGUACCUUGAUCCAAUUCGUUGGAAAAUUGGACGAAACGGCGAAAACCCGCCGAUUUGGAAGCUUGGGUCGCGCGGGUCAAAGGUGACCCAUUCCUCCUGUUCCCCCGUGCACCACUCUCCCUCCUUUCCCCCCUUUCCUUCCCCUGGUUGAUCAGUUUCUUCCUCUCUCUUCUUCUGAUUCGCUCGCAUCUUCUUCUUCUCCGAUUGGGCAUUUCUG
RNAcentral lists this long non-coding RNA (6803 nucleotides) under Malus domestica (apple). Its description in RNAcentral is "long non-coding RNA (MDOM_LNC014347)". Lineage: Eukaryota; Viridiplantae; Streptophyta; Magnoliopsida; Rosales; Rosaceae. The record is from RNAcentral.